This 16287-nucleotide long non-coding RNA is filed under the name Olea europaea (common olive). Its description in RNAcentral is "long non-coding RNA (OEUR_LNC011926)". Lineage: Eukaryota; Viridiplantae; Streptophyta; Magnoliopsida; Lamiales; Oleaceae. The record is from RNAcentral.
UUAGAUCAACUUUAAAACAUCUCCGGAUGUCAAGUGAUUCAAGGAGUAGACAACCAUCAAGAAUGGCUUGCAGGCCCUCAUUUGUCAUAUUAUUUCCCAAAAGUUGAAGGUGGUGCAAACCCGGCAUGCUUUUUGCAAUUGCUAGUGCAUCAUCAUUACAAGGGAGUUGUGAAUGUUUGUACGAUGACUCACUAAGUGUAAAUGACCUCAACUUAGGGCAGGAACGACCAAUAGCUUCAAUACCGUCGUUACAACUCAUUACAAAUACCAAGUGCAGUUCUUCCAACAAGGGAAAUCUUUUAGCUGCUUCACUCAAACCGUCACCUGAUACUCCAUAGCAACCCCCAAGUCGAAGACACCUAAGCUGACUUGACCUGUUGAACAGGUGAAAUUUAGAUUGCAAAAGUUAUAUGACUUGGAAAAGGGAAUUAUGUUUAUUUUUCCAUGCAUAUAAUUAGACAUAAUCCUCUAUAAGGGUUCAGCAACUUUAUUGGUCAAGCCACGGGGUUAUAUCAGGCAUCUUCACGCAAACAUGACCAUAACUAAAGCAUCAAGGAAAAAAAUACAAACAAAAUGCUGAUUGUUCAAACAAUCUUUACAGUAUUCAAGUAACUAUUAAAAUGCACUCAUAUUCUUUAUCAAAUAUGGAAAUUAUACAGUUCAAAUCAAGAUGUCUGAACAUCAAAAAUGAUCUCAUAACAUAUGAAACAUGUCAACAGGAAAUGUAAGCCAACAUUUGCAACAUUGUGUUCACAAAAUUUCCAAGUGAGCAAAUAUUAAACUAAGAAUGCUCAGCAGAACUACAAGAGCACCUUUUCUUUCAUAUCCUUAAAAAUCCUAAAAUAUGCAUAACUAUGAAAUAGGAGGAAGCACCUCAAGAAUCAUACAAUGUACAUUCAGGAUCAAAACUGAGCAAAAUCAACCAAGAUGAAUAUUUUGGACAUACUGCAGGAUUAAUUCUUAAUCAAUCAAACAGUUAAUUUGCCAAAUAGUUCUUGUUCUGUUAAAUUCAUUCAAAACAAAAAUUACAAAAUAAAUCUUACUAAUAAUAAUAUAUUGUAUUUUUUUAGAUGCUACUCUUCUUCAAUCAUUAAAAUUUCCCAACCCAAAAUAAUUCCAAUUACACCGAGCCAAAAUCAACAUGAUAUGUCACUCUGUGUCUUUGGCCAAUAAAACAGUAUUUCAUAUAACUAUAAAUAGUUCCUACAUAAAUCUUUUCAGAACUUCUUCUAAAAUCAAUCAAUUAGCAGUUCACAAAUCGAAGCAAUACUCACUACAUGUUUAUUUAAUAUAAUGAGCAGAUGAUGUUUAUGCAAAGGCACACGCCUUCCAUCUAUCAGGAAUGUGCUCUCCAUGCAAGGUUUUUGUCUGAUUAUUCUUUAAAAUUUUGUAUAAUUAAUAGCUAGGGAAGCUUAAUCUUACAGGAAUACUGUCAUAAUCCUAAUUAUACAAAACAACAAACACUUGUUACUAUAAAUAAUUGAGAAUUAUGGCCAAUAAUUGCUCCUCUUGAUUUAAAAAUUUAUCCCAUAACUUUUUUUUCACAGGAUUAACAUUUCUUGGCAGCUACAUCAAGUGAUGCUUCUCUUUCAAAGACAAAAUUCCCUAAAAUUUCCAUAGCUGCAUAUUGCAUUGGCUAGUCUCAUAUAUGGACCAUUAAGUGCUAGAAAACUAGUUGCCAACUAGCCAUUGUAAAAUGUUACUCAAAUGUCACGAGAUUUAAAGAAAAACUUCAUUACGAAUCACCACCGUACAGUCAUUUUUCUUUUCUUUACUUUACUUUUCAUUUUUAUCAAUUGGUAUUUUGGUAUGCUAUUAAUUAGUACAUAUUAUCAAUCAAAUGUGCUUUUAUGUGCUUCUUGACAGAGUUUGAAUAUCAGAUCAAACUUUGGAAAUGAAGGAUUGGACUGAAAUAAUUAGACCUCAUUUGCAAUAAACUAAGAUGACAAACUAUCCUUCCACUUCAAUUGUGCAUGCUCCCAUGAUUUAUAAAGGAGUGACUGAGGUGUGCCUCAACCGAGGCACACGAAAAUACUACUGGGGCACAAAUUUUAUUAGGCACAGAGAGACUUGUGCCUUUAGUGGCUGAGGCAUAAACCUCGAGGUGCAAUCCUGAGUGCGAGAGAGAGAGAGAGAGAGAGGUGCUCAUGCGCAUCUCCUUAAUUAUCCAGGGGACCACUUUUUCUUUAAACGUUUCAUAUUUCCAUGGUUGAAUUAAUUGGAAAUCUACUAUAUAUUAAAAUAGUUUGGGAAAUCUAUUAUAUUUUAAUAAAACUUACCUAAGUCAUUGAUUAUUAGCCAUAAAUUAUAGCUGGAAAUCCAUCAAACACCAAAACCUAAGCUAUGGAUGGAAAUUCACUAUAAUUCGAACACAAAACACAACACUGCAAUCCUAGAACUUCAUCACUCCCACUAAGAAGAGGCAGCAGGUUAGUCAAUUUUUUUCCUUUUUAAAAAAAAAAUGCAACUAUCACAAAUCGGUCUAUAAAUAACAAACAAAUUUCUAUAACUCAGACCAGUGAUAAUGACUAGUUGCAAGUUAAUAAUGCAGUUUUAAUAGAAAGUGCACGCUAAGGGCGUGAUUAUUAAUUAGUAUUAGACAGAACUAGAAAAGAACCUAAGAUUUUGUAGAUUAUACCAGCAGGUUCUAUCUAAUACUGCAUAGCAAACAUAUCAAAAAUGUUACCUCACCGUAAAUCAGUUCCAAGCUCAGUCUCAGAAGAAAUAUGGAUCAAAGCCAUAACCAUCAGAAUUGGAGUCAUGAAAGUAAUUAUCACCAUCAGAAUUGUAGACGUUAAAGUAAUCAUCAUAAUCAUAAUAUUCCCAGUCUGAAAACUCAGAUGAGUAGUAGUAGUUUUCCUCAGAUUUUACACAGUCAAAAAUAUCAGUAUUCCACUCGCAAUCUUCCAUGGAAUCGUAAGGAUGCUUGGAAUCUUUGAUCUUUUGAGUAAUUCUUUUCCCCAGAUCCCCACUUAGAUCAACUUUAAAACAUCUCCGGAUGUCAAGUGAUUCAAGGAGUAGACAACCAUCAAGAAUGGCUUGCAGGCCCUCAUUUGUCAUAUUAUUUCCCAAAAGUUGAAGGUGGUGCAAACCCGGCAUGCUUUUUGCAAUUGCUAGUGCAUCAUCAUUACAAGGGAGUUGUGAAUGUUUGUACGAUGACUCACUAAGUGUAAAUGACCUCAACUUAGGGCAGGAACGACCAAUAGCUUCAAUACCGUCGUUACAACUCAUUACAAAUACCAAGUGCAGUUCUUCCAACAAGGGAAAUCUUUUAGCUGCUUCACUCAAACCGUCACCUGAUACUCCAUAGCAACCCCCAAGUCGAAGACACCUAAGCUGACUUGACCUGUUGAACAGGUGAAAUUUAGAUUGCAAAAGUUAUAUGACUUGGAAAAGGGAAUUAUGUUUAUUUUUCCAUGCAUAUAAUUAGACAUAAUCCUCUAUAAGGGUUCAGCAACUUUAUUGGUCAAGCCACGGGGUUAUAUCAGGCAUCUUCACGCAAACAUGACCAUAACUAAAGCAUCAAGGAAAAAAAUACAAACGAAAUGCUGAUCGUUCAAACAAUCUUUACAAUAUUCAAGUAACUAUUAAAAUGCACUCAUAUUCUUUAUCAAAUAUGGAAAUUAUACAGUUCAAAUCAAGAUGUCUGAACAUCAAAAAUGAUCUCAUAACAUAUGAAACAUGUCAACAGGAAAUGUAAGCCAACAUUUGCAACAUUGUGUUCACAAAAUUUCCAAGUGAGCAAAUAUUAAACUAAGAAUGCUCAGCAGAACUACAAGAGCACCUUUUCUUUCAUAUCCUUAAAAAUCCUAAAAUAUGCAUAACUAUGAAAUAGGAGGAAGCACCUCAAGAAUCAUACAAUGUACAUUCAGGAUCAAAACUGAGCAAAAUCAACCAAGAUGAAUAUUUUGGACAUACUGCAGGAUUAAUUCUUAAUCAAUCAAACAGUUAAUUUGCCAAAUAGUUCUUGUUCUGUUAAAUUCAUUCAAAACAAAAAUUACAAAAUAAAUCUUACUAAUAAUAAUAUAUUGUAUUUUUUUAGAUGCUACUCUUCUUCAAUCAUUAAAAUUUCCCAACCCAAAAUAAUUCCAAUUACACCGAGCCAAAAUCAACAUGAUAUGUCACUCUGUGUCUUUGGCCAAUAAAACAGUAUUUCAUAUAACUAUAAAUAGUUCCUACAUAAAUCUUUUCAGAACUUCUUCUAAAAUCAAUCAAUUAGCAGUUCACAAAUCGAAGCAAUACUCACUACAUGUUUAUUUAAUAUAAUGAGCAGAUGAUGUUUAUGCAAAGGCACACGCCUUCCAUCUAUCAGGAAUGUGCUCUCCAUGCAAGGUUUUUGUCUGAUUAUUCUUUAAAAUUUUGUAUAAUUAAUAGCUAGGGAAGCUUAAUCUUACAGGAAUACUGUCAUAAUCCUAAUUAUACAAAACAACAAACACUUGUUACUAUAAAUAAUUGAGAAUUAUGGCCAAUAAUUGCUCCUCUUGAUUUAAAAAUUUAUCCCAUAACUUUUUUUUCACAGGAUUAACAUUUCUUGGCAGCUACAUCAAGUGAUGCUUCUCUUUCAAAGACAAAAUUCCCUAAAAUUUCCAUAGCUGCAUAUUGCAUUGGCUAGUCUCAUAUAUGGACCAUUAAGUGCUAGAAAACUAGUUGCCAACUAGCCAUUGUAAAAUGUUACUCAAAUGUCACGAGAUUUAAAGAAAAACUUCAUUACGAAUCACCACCGUACAGUCAUUUUUCUUUUCUUUACUUUACUUUUCAUUUUUAUCAAUUGGUAUUUUGGUAUGCUAUUAAUUAGUACAUAUUAUCAAUCAAAUGUGCUUUUAUGUGCUUCUUGACAGAGUUUGAAUAUCAGAUCAAACUUUGGAAAUGAAGGAUUGGACUGAAAUAAUUAGACCUCAUUUGCAAUAAACUAAGAUGACAAACUAUCCUUCCACUUCAAUUGUGCAUGCUCCCAUGAUUUAUAAAGGAGUGACUGAGGUGUGCCUCAACCGAGGCACACGAAAAUACUACUGGGGCACAAAUUUUAUUAGGCACAGAGAGACUUGUGCCUUUAGUGGCUGAGGCAUAAACCUCGAGGUGCAAUCCUGAGUGCGAGAGAGAGAGAGAGAGAGAGGUGCUCAUGCGCAUCUCCUUAAUUAUCCAGGGGACCACUUUUUCUUUAAACGUUUCAUAUUUCCAUGGUUGAAUUAAUUGGAAAUCUACUAUAUAUUAAAAUAGUUUGGGAAAUCUAUUAUAUUUUAAUAAAACUUACCUAAGUCAUUGAUUAUUAGCCAUAAAUUAUAGCUGGAAAUCCAUCAAACACCAAAACCUAAGCUAUGGAUGGAAAUUCACUAUAAUUCGAACACAAAACACAACACUGCAAUCCUAGAACUUCAUCACUCCCACUAAGAAGAGGCAGCAGGUUAGUCAAUUUUUUUCCUUUUUAUUUUUGUCAAAUAUUCUCAUAUUCUUUUUUUUUUUUUAGGUCAUUUCUUUUUCUUGCUGGUUAGCUAUUCUAUAUUUUCAUAUUUUUGAACUAUUCACCAGGUUCAGGGUGAGGUUUACACCUCACCUCACCUCACGAACUUAAAAUACCUGAUUUCGCCUUUUUACUGCACACUACAUGUUCUGAUAUUUAGAAAAGAGUACUACUCACUGACUUGACAGUGGAACAAAAUCAUGAAAGUUUUUCUCAUGGAGACAUUGAGGUCCAAAGGCUUUGCCUCUAAAACUGUACUUUCCAUGCUUCUUCAGUUUAACCAUGUUACUUGUCAGAUUGCAAAUAAUCACAUCUGGGAAAAAUAAGCUCUUUAGAAUACCGCUAUCUACGCCUUAUCCAUGCCACCACCUUUGGAUGAGAACGUUCAAGCAUUCAACCAUAUAGUUCCUGAUUACAUCUAUGCCUUUACUUUAGUAACGUAUCUUUUUAUUCUUGAAGUAAAAAGAGAACAAAAUAUCCCCUUUUGAAUAGCCUACUCUUUUCUUCGAUUUCACGAUCAGGCAAGAUUUAAAAAAAAAAAAAAGAAGAGUCUAAUAUAAGACUGGUCAACAGCCCAACACUAGUUGAAUAAAUUUCAAAGGUAAUCACGAAAAGAUAUAGAUGGGCUAGGAGCAGAAGAACAUAAAAAGGCAGAGAAAAAGUAUUCCCAUGCAAACAUACACAAUCGAUGGAUCCCCUGUUUACCUACAUUUAGUCUCAUCACAAAAAUAACAGGAAACAAAAAAAAAAAAGGAUCCAGUUUUUCUUUAUUUCAUGCAGUAUCUUAUAAGUUAUACCUUAACAUAGAAAAGAAAUUCAGAAAGCACAAGGACAGUAUACAAACACCAAUAAAUCAUAAAUGUAUUUCACUAUAUUCAAGAAUGUCCUCAACUAUAAUUUUGAUGAAUUUUAAAAGAUUAUAAAUCUUAACGAAUUUCGUGAAUUUGAAUAGAUUUCCACAAAUUCCAUAAGAAUCUUGUGAAAUUUCAAAAGCUUUGAUUAUACGUAUUUUUAAACUUGAAAUCUAUCCAAAUCUUUUGAAAUCCCUAUAUUAAUGAAAUCUUUAUAAAUCCACUAGUUAUUGAGGAUAGUUAAAUUUUAAAGGAUUUCAUUAAAUUUCAGUAAAAAUCUAGACACCUAAAUUUUAAUAGGUUUCAUUAAAAUCCAUUAAAAUCUAAUUGAGGAUACCUAAAUUUAAAAUGAUUUUUAAAAUUCGUCACAAUCUCAAUUGAACACCUCCCUUAAUAUCAGUAAGCACAAAAAUCAGAAACUUUCACAAGCUUUGCAUUAUAGAAGUCGAUCAUGAGACUGCAAUGAGAACAAAUAAACUUCAAAAUGUGCUUAUUUUUACCACUAAAAGAACCAACAAAAAUACGUACGAUGGUUUGUACGUUAUGCGUUGAGUAUUUUGCAUAAAGAUUGUAACUGAUGCAUCAUAUUUAGAAGCAUUUAGCAUUUUUUUUCCUUUCGAAAACAUAUAAAAUUCGAAAUGAACCUAUACCGUUCGGAGAUGUACUGUAGCAAUUCAUCGGUGGCGAAAUAGUCAAUAUAGAUGUCAGUCAAUUGGCCCUCGCUGCGAUCCACUGCUUGACGGCACGUGGUUUCCAGGUACACCGACAUGUCAUGAUAUUUACCCAGGUUUUUCAUGUCAAUUACACGCCAAAUGGAAGGGUCCUUGCAAACAUUUCGCCAAGUAGUACAGACUUCCUGUGCACUCUUCAGCAUAUCGUGUGCCCCCAGCCGGUGCAGGAUAUUCGCAGUCACCUCUGGAGGCAGUUCUAACCACGGAGGCGGGGGCGGAGGCGUUGGCCGGGCGGAUGAUGCCGCCUCCGCCUUUGCCUUUGCCUUUGCCUUUGCCUUCUUCUUUUUGUUUUUUAGCCUCUUGAGCUUUUUCCCCAUUGUAAAUUUGGGGAUGAGAUGAAAUGUAAAUCCGUGGAGUAGUAUGCAUAAUGGACGAAGUCUUAACUUUCAUCAUUAGAGAAAUAGAUCGGUCAAUUAAGCCUGUAUUUGACUAUCAUUAAUUGAUUUUUUUUUUUACGUACUCAUUUUCAAUUAUAGAUUCAUAUAAUAUAAAAUUUUAUAAAUAAAUCUAAAAUAUUUUCGUAUUUUUUAACCAAAAAUUUUCUUAAAAAUCACUGUUCUAACAUUAUCUUGACCAAAUAAUAACCAUCAAACAAGGGUUAAAACUCCUUGAAAAUGGCGACAUUUCUUAAGAUAAUACCCCAUAUAUUGACUUGUUAUUAAUUAAAUAAAAUAAUAUUAAGUUCCAAUUUGGUUGUGAGUAAAAUUAAAUUUUUAAUGAAUUUUGAUAAAAGUUAAUGAAAUUACCUUACUAAAAAGUUGUGAGAACCAUAAAAUUUGUUUGUUGAUUUUAACUUAAAUUAAAAUUAACGUUUUAAUAUGUACCAAACCAAAGCUAAAUUUACUUACUAUAAAGGACCGUUGUUACUUCAUUUAAUUUGCUUAAUGAAUCAUUAAUUAAUAUAAGCUCACAAAUUCAAUUUUGAUCGUUAUGGACUAGUACCUAGAUCGAGUAUUAAGCAAGAUGACCUAAUUUUAAUAGCCGACCAUGAUAGAAAUAGAUAGGCACAAUAAAACUCCUUCUUUAGCGAUAAACAUAUGAACUAAUGAUUGAACCAAAAGAUUUCAUUGUUCACACGUAGAUUCAACAUUCAUAACAACGCAAGUUAUAAAAUCAUAGAUGUAUAAUAAAUUAUAUCCCUGUAUGGUAGAGAUUAAAAUCAAAUUUUUAGUAGAUUUCAAUAAAAUUUGAUAAAAUAAAUGAUUGAAAAGUUAUGCAUCCGGUGAAAUAUAUAUUUUAAAUUAUUUGUUCAAUUUGACUUAGAUUUUAAUCAAUUUUAUUUUAUCCACUCCAAUUGGAGACUAUAUAUUUUACUCUUAAUUUCAUUAUAUUAUAUAAUAUUAUAAUUAAAUUUAAUUGGCAAGUCAAUCGUCUAAGACUUGUAAGGUACUGUUAUGCGUUUUACAUAACAUAAUUCUAUCGUAAGUGUACGAUGUCAAGUUGUGUAAUAUAAUAAUGAAGUUAGGAUGUCAAACUCACAGGGAUUGAUGUCUAAUUUUUACUAGGUUUGUAUAGCUCUUAUUUUAUCUAGAUGAAUGAAAUUUGGAAUCAAUAGUUUUAACUAAGUUAGCGUGAUGAAUGUGAUGAAGAAUUCAACAAAUAAAUGCAAGUUAGAAAAAUAAUCAAGAUGAGAAAGUUUUUUGUUAUGAUUUCACCUAACUAUCAAAUAUGAUUCUUAAUUAUUUAUAAUCAAUGUUCCUAAAUUUAUUAGGAAGAACCCUAAUUCAAUUCAAUUCUACUCUAUCUCUCUCAAGUACUGAGUAAAAAUUAUUUUUAUAUUCCAAUUUUAAUAUCUCUAUUUUGAAUUAAAAUCUAGAAAUUAUCAAGUUUUUGGUUUUUAUGUGGAAAAUGCUUCAAAGGAAUUAACAUUUUCUCUCGAAAGAUAUAAUUUCCUAGGUUGUACUAUUCUAUGAUCGUGCCUAAAUUUAACUCUCUCGAGUACCAAAAUCGAUAAACAUCUAAUCAUUCAAUUAGUGGUCAAUUACUCAAUUAAUUGAAAGCGUUAAGAAUAAAUAACAGAAAUAAACAUGAUUGGAAAAUCUCAAAGAAAUAACUAUAAUAAAAUCAAAACAUAAUCUCAAGUUGAUUAUAUCAAAUCCUAGAUUAGGUGUUUAGUACCAUAUUCUACAAAAUUCUAGAGAUUCGAUAUUACCAACAAUUAUAUUUCUAGACAUAUUCAGAGUAUGAUGAUUUCAUAUCAUCAUUUACGUAGAUAUUCGUAAAGACGCUUUCUUUGUUAAUGUCUCUCACAUAAAUAUCAUCAAGUGUUUGGUUCCAUCUUAAUACUUGAGAUCUUAACAUAUAAGAUAGUUGUGUAACUAUCAUGAAUCUCAUAUUCUCAACUAGUAUCAUUAGAUGUUCAAUACAUCUAUACUAAACAAUUUCUUCAUCUGCCAAAAUAUACAUUAUAAUAUAUGAUUCUUACUACUCUAUGUAGCAAAAGUGCACAAAUCUAAUAAUAAUUGUGCUCGGCUUACUCUCAUUCUAAGUCAACAAUUGUAUAUCUAUUCCAAUCACAAGUUAUUCCUUUGACAACGAAAUAGAAUAACUGACAGCAACACCCUUCAGGUAUCACAAUACAUUUUCUAAAGAUAAUAUUGAUACCUACUAACUAGAUCGAUGGCAUGACCAAUAUUAUGGCAAAUAUACAUUAUAGGAUACUUCUAUCUCCUAACUCUUAAUCGUACUAGAUAUAGUUUUCUAGAAAUUUUGUUGUAUAUUUAUAGAGUCUUUGGACAUUUAUGAAGACUUAUAUAAUCACCUUCUGAUACAGGAGUUUCAACAAGUUAGCAAUUCCACAUGAGUUUUUAUAGUAUAAAACUCUUGUAAUAAAGCAAGAAGAUUCGAAUAAUCUUUUUAACACAAAUCAUACAAUUUGCUAAACCCACGUCAUUUAUUUCAAAGAUUGAGGACAACCAUAUCAAAAUGGUCUCUAUGCACUCAUUUUUAUGCUUAACCAAUCCAAUCCAAUGUAAUCAAAAUCAAAAUUAGAAUUACAACCAACCAUCAAACCUUUACGUAAAUACAAUAAUUUCCUUUCAUAUGACGAAAAUUUUUGUACGAGAUUUAACCAUGUUAAAAACUUAAGUACGACUAUCAUAAUGACUGUAUUAGACCAUGAGUGUAACUGUAAAAUUACCACAAUACUAAAAAGGUCUUAACAUGAAAUCUACAAGACAAUUCAUGUUGAUCUCUUCAAUCAUUUAUUAAUUGAGAAUAAAAAUACGGUCUCUAGGUCUAUUUGGUGUAACUGUAAAUUUAAGCACACUAUCAUGGCUAGCAUCGAUGUACAGAAGUGAUUUCCAUUGUUAUGAAAAAAAUUAUCUAACUCAAUACACUCAUAUUGAGCAUAACCUUUAAAAAUAAAUAAAUAAAUAAAUUUAGCUUUAUCUACCAGAAACUCAUUAAUCUUUCACAUAGUUUUCAAGAACCCGAAUGUUCUCAAUAAACAUAAUGUUCAAAUAGAACUUAGGUUAAAAUUCUAUACUCCGUAUAUAUACUUUCAUCACUUCCUUCAAAAUUCUUCACUGGUUUUCUAAACCAGAAAUCAUUGACAUUAAAUAACUCUUAAUUUCCACUUGGAACCAAAAAUCAUUGAUAUUAAAUAGUUCUUAGCUCCCACUCGAAACCAAGAGUCAUUGAAAUUAGAUAGUUCUUAGAUAGCUCCCACUUGGAUAGAUAGGUCCAACUCGAAAAUAGAUUACUCACACUUGAAUCAGAAGUUUGAAUCAACUCUUAUAUAUUCAAAACUGAUUCAUUAAUACAUUUAAUAUCAAUUUCAACGAUGUUCUCCAAUCUUUUCUCCCUUACUGGGAAAAAUGUCAAAUGUCACAUCUUGUGACUCAAUAUUUAUAAAAAAUUUCACUUAAAUACUUUUUUUGGAUUGCAUGUAUGUCAUCAAGAUACAUCUCAUUCUUAAUAGACUCGUGUUCCCAAACUCAUUAUCGAGAACAUGUAUAAUCCAUUAUGAGUAUAUGAUCACCCAUAUUUGUUAUCUACAUGUCCAAAAGUUAUAUAUUCUGAAGGUACCAACAUUGAGAAAACUCCUUUAACUGAUAAGUUGUAGCUUGCCAAUGUUUUUUUCAAAAGCAAAUACAUAAGUUGGACGCAUAUCUCAAACCUCAUCAUAUUCAGUAAUAUUCCAUUCCUUCUAUCAAAUACACUAUAUAAUUUAUUAGUGAUAGAGAUUCAUGCCAUCAGAUAAUUCUCAAAGUCUUCACUUCCACAAUCUGAUUUUCUACUUGACUUCAAAAAAGUCUAAACUAAUACAAUAUCUUCAACUUAAGAAAAUCAGAGGCGUGAAUCCAUCUAUAAAUGUAAUGAAAAGAAAAGUUUCAUCUCUAUCUCGCUUAAUCACAGCUCGCAAAAAAAUUUGAAUGGAUUUAUUCUAUUGAAGUUUAGCUCUAACAGUUUUGAAUGGUUUUCUCAACUCAAAACCUCAAUCCAUUGCACAAAUAUCCGGAACCAAAAUAAACAUCACCAUUGUGAGCACGAACAGAUCUACCACAUAUAAGUUCAAGUAAGAGACCACUCUUCGAAGAAUAAUAACUGAGAUCAAAUUUAGUGGAGUUUUUGAUACUAUCUUAUAAGAGGUUAGUUUCUCUACUUUGCAACACUAAGUUGCAGUACCAGUCAUAUAAACCUCCACUCCAUCUUCAUUAUUUGUACAUAUCUAUUUUGUAUCAAGUUAAAGACUCGAAACCACUUUUGAGCUAAGAGAUUAAAUCAUAUAGUUGAAGCACUAGAACCUUUAUAACAUUGAUCCUCUACCAAAACAACUUUCAUUCACUUAUUAUCUGAUAUGUUCUUCUUGGUCUCUUUUUUUCAGUCGCCUCAUGUACAUUUGUUCUAGCUCAUUUUAUGCUUAAAAUUCAAAAUCUUAUUCAAGCUAGAACAUUGCUACACAGGCAUAUCCUCGAGACUUAGCAACAUCAAGUCGUACGUCUUCUAUCUCACACAACGAGCAGUGUCAAUAUAGAAAAUCGAUACUUCAAUUUGUAAGUCACAAUGAUCUUUAAAGUUCUCAUAUAUUGAGAAGAUGCUAGUUUGAAUUUACUAUUCGUCUAAAAAUAAUGUGACCAACAAAAAUAUUAACACUGUGUUAAUUAUCAACUAAGUCACAUUGGAGAAAAAGAUCAUUUAUAACAGAACUUAACAAUUCAAAUGUUCAAGCAUUAGAAUCUAUCUUUUUUUCCUACUUAACAAAGUUUCUGAUCUUUAUUCUCUAGAGUAGUAUAACCUACAUAAGGUCUUUCAUUGCGUGGCUGAUGCUCUCUAAAGCAUCAUAUCCUUCUACUACACUUAAAAUUUUAUCAUGCCAAAUGUUAUCGCAUCUAGCUUAUCAUCUUUAUUAAGGUCAACCAUAGAUUUUGAUGCCAUGAUCUAUCAAAUUUUUCGAGACAUUUUAUUCUCAACCAAUGCCCAUUUAUGCACAUAUUUAAUUUUUGCAUUAACUCAAAUUAACGUCUAUGCCAAUCCGCGGCGCUUAGUCAAUGAAAAAAAAUUCGUUGAUUCAUCCCUUUAAUCAAUUCUAAUGUUCUAAGUUAAUUUGUAUGGUCAGAUUUUACAACAUCAACUUUUAAAAUUGUGUUCUGGACCUAAACAGAUCUGACCAAGAUUUAAAAAAUGGGAAAAAAAAAGUAUUGUUCAUGUUUAAAAAAAAAAACAAAAUUUUUAGAUUUUAUCAAUACUUCGGGAGGCCAAAAUUUAUGUUCUUUAUAUCAUUGGAAAGUUCUCGAGAAAAUCUAUUCAAUCAUAGCAAACGAGCAUCACAAAACAUAAUGUGGAAAAUAUUAUCGUGUGAUGAAGUUUCAAAUUUUACCAUUUUUCACGCUAAAAAUUAGAUUCAUAUCUAAACUUUGGAAGGCUAUAACUUCUUCAGUCCAAGGCCAAAAUUUAUGUUCUUUAUAUUGUUGGAAAGGUCUCGAGAAGAUUUAUCCAACGAGACUAAAUGGGCAUCAUGAAGUACGAUCCGAAGAAGUUAUCAUCUCAUGAAGUUUCUGAUUUUACAAAGUUUCACUCAAAAAAUCAGAUUUACAUCUAAAUUUCGGGAGGCCAUAACUUUCUCAUUUCAAGCCCAAAAUUAAUGAUCUUUAUAUCAUUGGAAAGGUCUUGAGAAGAUCUAUGCAACCAUACCAAAUAGACAGUAUGAAACCUAAAGUAUAAAAAAUUAUCAUGUGAUGAAGUGCAGGAUUUUAUCAUGUUUCAUGCCAAAAAUUCAUAUUAUUUUUCAAAUUUCAAAACCUCAUAAUUUCUUCAUUUUAAGUCCAAAGUUUAAGUUCUUUAUAUGAUUGGAAAGCUUAUGAGAAGACCUUUCUAACCAUACUAAUCUUACUGCAUGAAGAUGAACAAAUAGAUGACAGUAAAUUAUCAAAUGAUGCUACUAAGUACCACAUAAGGUUUCAAAACUUUGCAUACAAGAUUCAUAACCAAAAUUGUAUCAUGUAAUGGCAUAUUUAAGCAUGAAUUAUAGCAAGGAAUUCAACCUUAAGGCUCUGAUACCAAUGUAGGAAAUCGCAACAUACUUUGACGUGAAUUUCGGGUCAAAAUACUUACUUGAAUGAUGAAUUUCAAGAUCUUUGUGUUGUUAAAUCAUCUUACUAUCCAAGCAUUAAAAUCUACAUUUUCUAGUACUCCAAUAGUCCCAAUCCUGAUCACAAUGAAAGUGGAUUAUUAUCCACAAUUUAAAUGCCAAUUUUUGUGAGAUUUCAUGCUAAAAAUAUGGUUUUAUGGACUUUCCAAUUUUGAUGUGAAUUUUCAUACGAAAAUUCACUUUUUUUUUUUUUUCAUGCCACCACCUUUUUUUUUUUCCAUAACUUCUAUAUAGAGGUUGUAAGGCAUUGUAGAUUUGAAUUCCAAAUUCAAACCACUCCCUCAAAUCCUUUUAAAAUCUUGCGGGUUGGGUCGACCCAUUACCCGUAUUUUCCAAUAGCCACCAACAUGAGAAGCAUCAUUGAACAAAAGUCAACCAUGCAACUCCCCCCCAACAGGUGCAACAGGCACAAAUAGCCAUACGGAUGCCCCCCAAUAUGCCUCAUCUUGGUCUCUUCCAAGGUCAAUAGGAGAAUCAACAAGGAACAGAAGAAGAAGUGCAGAGUGACAGGACCCAAAACCAAAGGAGUGAAGGAGAGAGAAGCUUCGUUGAUGAUGAUCAGAAUACAGUAGUAUUGUUCAUUGGCAUUUCUUGCUAAAUGAGUUAUAUUUUAGUUAACAUUUCAUUUUAAGAAUUGAUAUUACCAAAUCCUACUAAUUCAAUGAAAUAACAUCGUUUGUAUAAGACGUCGUGAUAAUAUAUAAAAUGUCCCUCGCAUGUUGAAAGACGUGGUGUUAUGUACUGUUUCUAGUUAUAACAUCGUUCGUAUGUCCCUCGUAGUAUUGUUUAUUAGCAUUUCUUGCUAAUUGAGUUAUAUUUUAGUUAACAUUUCAUUUUAACAAUUGAUAUUACCAAAUCCUAUUGAUUCAAUGAAAUAACAUCUUUGUAUAAGACGUCGUGAUAAUAUAUAAAAUGUCCUUCGUAUGUUGAAAGACGUGGUGUUGUCUACUGUUUCUAAUUGCAAUUUGAAUUAAUAUUGACAAUUGAAAAGGGUAAUAUAGUUAAUAAUAUCGCGAUAACAUUUGAUAUUUACCAAACCAUAUUACACAAACAAUGAUGUAACAUCCUAUUUGUUUCCAAUUCUUAGCCCAACCAGAAUGCAUUUUUGGACUAUUGAGCUGUAAAUUUUUUGAAAAAUGAUAGUUUGCCAGGGUCUUUGACCCUGGCCAGACUAUCUCUCGAACAAGGGAGCCCACAACCAUUUUUUCAGGACAAAAAAAAUGCCCACCCUCUCAUAGUCUGGCUAGGGUCUGUGCAAAUGACUCUGGCAAACUAGCAUAGUCCAAAUUUUUUACCUCCUCUUUGUGUGAGUCCCAAUUGCAGGCAAAUAAACAAUCCAAAAAUGGAUUAUUGUGUACAAAGAAUAAGUGCUUAUUUGAUAAGGAUUUUGAUAAUUGAUUUUUUGACCGUUAGAGAUAAAGUGGAUCCUACCUGUGGGAGAAUAUUCAAAAACGACGGCAGGAAUGGUGAAAUAACGGUCAAAAAAUUGAUUUUAAUUGGCUUUUAAGCUGUACCAAACAAGCUCUUAGAAACAAAGACACGCUUAACGUAGCCUCACUAGUUAUAUUUGCAAUUUCUUGGAACAAAAAUUGGGGUCAAAAUACUAAGAGGUAAUAUAAUUAGAUAGAGAAAUAUAAUUUUUAAUUAAUUUCUGAUAGAUUACUACAAGAAUUCAAUAUUUAAGGGUUACUGAAAUUCAUACACCAUAUCCAUUUAAUGAAGUGUUCAUUUCUAAACCUAAUUAAACAAAGCCCUCUAGACAUGUUGGAUACAUGGUAACCGAACAAUAACGAUUAUUUAACUGACUUUCAUUUUAAAUACCUUCCACUAUCGGUCGGUCUACAAAUCAGUUUAAUCUUCCAAAAUCACCUUGCAAAAAUAAGUUUUUAUAUCCACAAACCAAGCCUUGCAACAAAGGAGAAAAAAAUGUGACUAUUAUAAGUGAGCCAAUAAAUAACGAGCAAAUUUCACUAACUCAAACUAGCGGCAAGUUAAAAAUGCAGUUACAAUGGAAAGUUCACGUUAAAGGCAUGCUUAGUACUAGACAGAACUAAAAAGUAAAAACGAAACAAAGAUUUUGUAGAUUAAUACCAGCCGGUUCUAUGUAAUACUGCAUGGCAAACAUUAGAAAUGUUUUAUCACCCCAAAUUGGUUCGAAGCUCAAUCAAAGUAGAAAUAUGGGUCGACUCCACCAUCAGAAUCGUAGUCGCUUCCACUAUAAUGAAGGUAAUCAUCGUAAUCAUAAUAAUUAUCGAGAGAAAACUCUGAAAUCUCAGAUGAGCGGUAGUAAUCUUCAUCAUAUUCAUCACAAUCAAAAAUUUCAGGAUCCCACUCGCAAUCUUCCAUGGAGUCAUCAGGACGCUUGAAGUCUUUGAUCUUUUGAGUAAUCCUUUUCCCCAACUCCCCACUUAGAUCAACAUUCAGACAUUUCCGGAUGUCAAGCAAUUCAAGAAGUGGACAACCGUCAAGAAUGGCUUGCAGGCCCUCAUUUGUCAUAUUAUUUCCCAAAAGUUGAAGGCGGUGCAAACCUGGCAUGCUUUUUGCAAUUGCUAGUGCAUCAGCAUCACAAAGGAGUUGUGGGUGUUUGUACCCCGACUCACUAAGUGUAAACGACCUCAACUUAGGGCAGGAACGACCAAUAGCUUCAAUACCUUC